AGAGAAGGAAAAAAUAGAGAAACGAAAGAAGAGAGAGAUUAGAAGCAAGGUUGAAAGACAAAGGAAUAUUACCCAAGCCUCAAGAAGAAGUUUGAAGGGAAGAAGACAGAAGGGAAGGAAAGAAGGAGAAAAUGAAACAAGACAAGAAAAUUACUAAAAACAGUGUUCACACUCACACACACACACACACACACACACACACAAGCAAUGGGGUGGUGGUGGGGGAAUGAACAAAAAAAAUACCAAAAGCAAAGAAAAAAAGAAAAAGAAAUUUCUCUGUGAUUUCAAUCCUGUGGCUAUCACCUGAGGUCUACAGUUUCCUGGCAGUUCCAAUUCAAGGUGUGACUCUGUUCUCACUAGUAGACAGGGGAGGCUUUCAGAGCCUAGAUCCAUGUGGGGUAAUCCCAGCAAGAUGGCAAUAGGAUUAUGGUGAGAUGCCAGUUUGGGGACUUUCAAAUACACAGAAAUUCAGGCCGAACCUGCCUUCUGCUUGUGGGAGUGGGGCCUGAUAUCUCUUGCCUCCCUGACCACAGCUCCCUGACCCUGGACAUCUGUGGCUGUCCCUCACCCAGUCACUGAGUCAGUUUAACACUGGUAGCCCUGAGAUGAAGCCAACCUGCAGCUACUCUGAGUCUCAGGUUCAGUUGACUCCUCCCUAAAAUGGCAUCCAAACAGGCCCUCUCUCCAGUGCAUAUGGCAGAUGCUUGGACUGGAGUCACUCACCAGCUAUUGUGCAUGGCAUCCACUGCUCCAUUCCACUGGUGCAUUUCUCCCUGAAGGCAUCUGGUGUCAUCCACUCUGUAGAUUCAAUCUUCUUUUCUUUGGUCACAAGCUAGAAGCCAGGAAGAAAGGAGGGGAUUGCCCCUUCCUUUUUCUCUGUUUUGGUCUGUCUUUUCAGUUUCUCUGUAGGCUCCAGUUUUCCCUUCAAAUCCUUCCUGGGUCCCAGGGAUCCACCUCCCUCCUUUUCUUUCCCAAGUUGUUAUUUUCCAGUGUCUGGAUUCCGAAUCUUGGAGAGGCUGAUUUGUUGCUGCUUACUGCUCUGCCAUCUUCCCGGAAAUCUCAAGAUUUACAUUUAUUAAGCAAGAAAAAAAAUCAACAAAGUGAAGAGACAACCUACAGAAUGGGGAGGGCGUGGAUUGCCAGCUACUCCUCAGACGGAGGACCAACAUACAAAGAACUCAAAAAAAAUUAGACCCCCCAAAACAAAAGACUCAAGCAAAUGAGUAAACAUUUCUCAAAAGAAGCACAAAUGGUCAAUGAGUACAUGGAAAAAUAUUCAGCACAUUUGACCAUUAGAGGAAUGCAAACCCAAACGACGCCGAGAUUCCAUCUUCAGGAAGGACAGCUGUCAUCAAGGACUAAAAAACAACACAUGCUCAGUUGCAGGGAAAAGGAGCCCUUCUACAUUGUUGGUGGGAAUAUAAGCUAGUACCACAAUGAAUUCAGUGUAGAGAGUCUGCAAAAAACUAAAAAAGAAAUUCCAUUUGACCCAGCUAUAUCUCUCCCUGUUAUCUUACUGAAAGCGUUAAAGUCAUCAUGUUGCAGUGAUACAUGCACACCCAUGACUGUAGCAGCACAAUUCAUAAUAACUAAAUUAUGGAAGUUAGCCUAUAUUCCCAUCAACAGAUGAAUGAAUAAAGAAUAUGUGAUGAUAUAUACACAAAGGAGUACUACUAAGCCAAAAAGAAGGAUAAAUUUGAGUUAUUUAUAGGAAAAUGGAUCUUGAGACUAUAGUGCUAAAUGCAUUAAAUCAGACUGAGUUUAAAUCAGACAUAGAAGGUUAAACAUCACUUGAUUUCUCUUAUAAAAAAAUAAAGAGCAAGACAAAAGAGAGAGGGUAGGAAUAAAGGAGGUAGACUUUUUAGACAUAGAAAGAGGGGAUCUGGGAUGGAGCAAUGGGGAGGGAAAGGAGUAAAAAGGAUCAACACGCAAUAUGUAUAUGUACCAAUUCUCCAAAAUUAAUAGUAUGUGUCAUAAACAUACUAAUAAAAAGAAAUUUUUAAAAAAGAAUGAAGUGUGGACUGCUCAGUGUGUGACCACCCCCAUAGCACACCACCUGUUCAAGGAAGCUCCUUCCCUCACAA
RNAcentral lists this long non-coding RNA (2084 nucleotides) under Heterocephalus glaber (naked mole-rat). RNAcentral describes it as "lncRNA (ENSHGLG00000041951.1)". The record is from RNAcentral. Lineage: Eukaryota; Metazoa; Chordata; Mammalia; Rodentia; Bathyergidae.